Molecule: ribosomal RNA, 497 nt
Filed under: uncultured bacterium
Lineage: Bacteria
Description: partial 16S ribosomal RNA
Rfam family: Bacterial small subunit ribosomal RNA
Source: RNAcentral
GAUGAACGCUGGCGGCGUGCCUAAUACAUGCCAGUCGAGCGAACAGACGAGGAGCUUGCUCCUCUGACGUUAGCGGCGGACGGGUGAGUAACACGUGGAUAACCUACCUAUAAGACUGGGAUAACUUCGGGAAACCGGAGCUAAUACCGGAUAAUAUAUUGAACCGCAUGGUUCAAUAGUGAAAGACGGUUUUGCUGUCACUUAUAGAUGGAUCCGCGCCGCAUUAGCUAGUUGGUAAGGUAACGGCUUACCAAGGCAACGAUGCGUAGCCGUCCUGAGAGGGUGAUCGGCCACACUGGAACUGAGACACGGUCCAGACUCCUACGGGAGGCAGCAGUAGGGAAUCUUCCGCAAUGGGCGAAAGCCUGACGGAGCAACGCCGCGUGAGUGAUGAAGGUCUUCGGAUCGUAAAACUCUGUUAUUAGGGAAGAACAAAUGUGUAAGUAACUAUGCACGUCUUGACGGUACCUAAUCAGAAAGCCACGGCUAACUACGUG